RNAcentral lists this ribosomal RNA (292 nucleotides) under uncultured bacterium. RNAcentral's name for it is "partial 16S ribosomal RNA". It matches the Rfam family "Bacterial small subunit ribosomal RNA", at positions 505 to 796 of the family's 1533-position model. The record is from RNAcentral.
GUGCCAGCAGCCGCGGUAAUACGGAGGGUGCAAGCGUUAUCCGGAUUCACUGGGUUUAAAGGGUGCGUAGGCGGGCAGGUAAGUCCGUGGUGAAAUCUCUGAGCUUAACUCAGAAACUGCCAUGGAUACUAUUUGUCUUGAAUAUUGUGGAGGUAAGCGGAAUAUGUCAUGUAGCGGUGAAAUGCUUAGAUAUGACAUAGAACACCAAUUGCGAAGGCAGCUUACUACACAGUUAUUGACGCUGAGGCACGAAAGCGUGGGGAUCAAACAGGAUUAGAUACCCUCGUAGUCC